RNAcentral lists this ribosomal RNA (378 nucleotides) under uncultured eukaryote. RNAcentral's name for it is "partial 18S ribosomal RNA". It matches the Rfam family "Eukaryotic small subunit ribosomal RNA", at positions 592 to 975 of the family's 1831-position model. The record is from RNAcentral.
CAAUAGCGUAUAUUUAAGUUGUUGCAGCUAAAAAGCUCGUAGUUGGAUUUCGGAUGGGAUUUGCCGGUCCGUCGUUACGAUGUGCACUGGCCAGUCCUAUCUUGUUGUCGGGGACUAGCUCCUUGGAUUCACUUCCUGGGACUAGGAGCUGACGAGGUUACUUUGAGUAAAUUAGAGUGUUCAAAGCAAGCCUACGCUCUGAAUACAUUAGCAUGGAAUAACACGAUAGGACUCUGGCUUAUCUUGUUGGUCUGUGAGACCAGAGUAAUGAUUAAGAGGGACAGUCGGGGACAUUCGUAUUUCAUUGUCAGAGGUGAAAUUCUUGGAUUUAUGAAAGACGAACUUCUGCGAAAGCAUUUGUCAAGGAUGUUUUCAUUA